AUUUACAUAAUAUAAAAAUUAUAUUUGACUUCCAAUCAAAAAAUCUAACCCAAAUUAGUGUAAAUA
RNAcentral lists this transfer RNA (66 nucleotides) under Hermerius prionoides. Its description in RNAcentral is "tRNA-Gly". Lineage: Eukaryota; Metazoa; Arthropoda; Insecta; Coleoptera; Cerambycidae. The record is from RNAcentral.